RNAcentral lists this ribosomal RNA (253 nucleotides) under uncultured bacterium. Its description in RNAcentral is "partial 16S ribosomal RNA". It matches the Rfam family "Bacterial small subunit ribosomal RNA", at positions 524 to 776 of the family's 1533-position model. The record is from RNAcentral.
GACAGAGGGUGCAAACGUUGUUCGGAAUUACUGGGCGUAAAGCGCACGUAGGCGGAUGUGUCAGUCAGGGGUGAAAUCCCGGAGCUCAACUUCGGAACUGCCCUUGAUACAGCACGUCUUGAGUCCGGAAGAGGUGGGUGGAAUUCCUAGUGUAGAGGUGAAAUUCGUAGAUAUUAGGAAGAACACCGGUGGCGAAGGCGGCCCACUGAUCCGGUACUGACGCUGAGGUGCGAAAGCGUGGGGAGCAAACAGG